This 468-nucleotide ribosomal RNA is filed under the name uncultured bacterium. RNAcentral describes it as "partial 16S ribosomal RNA". It matches the Rfam family "Bacterial small subunit ribosomal RNA", at positions 28 to 507 of the family's 1533-position model. The record is from RNAcentral.
GACGAACGCUGGCGGCGUGCUUAAUACAUGCAAGUCGAACGGAAAGGCCCUGCGCUUGUGGGGUGCACGAGAGGCGAACGGGUGUGUAACACGUGUGUAUAAUGCACUUGACUUUGGGGUAACUUCACGGAAAAGCGGAUAAUACCGGAUAGGAGAUCCUGCUGCGCGGGGGGGGAUGGAAAGUUUCGGCGGUUGGGGAUGGACUCGCGGCUUAUCCGCUUGUUGGUGGGGUAGGGGAGUACCAAGGCUUUGACGGGUAGCCCGCCUUAGAGGGUGAACGGCCACAAUGGGACUGAGGUACGGCCCAGACUCCUACGGUAGGCAGCAGUGGGGAAUAUUGCACAGUGGGCGGAAGCCUGAUGCAGCAACGCCGCGUGCGUGAUGACGGCCUUCGGGUGGUAAACCGCUUUCGCCUGUGACGUAGCGUGAGUGACGGUAAUGGGUAAAGAAGCACCGGCUAACUACGUG